Molecule: unclassified non-coding RNA, 262 nt
Filed under: Hevea brasiliensis (rubber tree)
Lineage: Eukaryota; Viridiplantae; Streptophyta; Magnoliopsida; Malpighiales; Euphorbiaceae
Source: RNAcentral
AGCGACGCCUCUGGAACUAUGGGUAGGCUUUCUGUUUGAGUUAUGUGCUUCUCAUUUGCACUGAGAAAAAGAAUCUUCUACAACUAUACUUGUUUGUUGGUGAAAAAGCGGAUUUCAACCCUGCAUUUGCUAAAUUACAGGGAUUUGAUUCAUUGAUGCAGGGUGUUGCUUUUCUUUCUUGUUGAGGUCUCACCUUUUAAACCCGCAAAUGUUAAUGUCUGUUUAUCCAAUGUUCUGUGCGCAGGUGGUGCUUGUGGGUAUG